CUGGAGGUAUCAGAAGUGCGAAUGCUGACAUAAGUAACGAUAAAGCGGGUGAAAAGCCCGCUCGCCGGAAGACCAAGGGUUCCUGUCCAACGUUAAUCGGGGCAGGGUGAGUCGACCCCUAAGGCGAGGCCGAAAGGCGUAGUCGAUGGGAAACGGGUUAAUAUUCCCGUACUUGGUGUUACUGCGAAGGGGGGACGGAGAAGGCUAUGUUGGCCGGGCGACGGUUGUCCCGGUUUAAGCGUGUAGGUGUGUGUUCCAGGUAAAUCCGGUUCACUUUAACACUGAGGCGUGAUGACGAGGCACUACGGUGCUGAAGCAACAAAUGCCCUGCUUCCAGGAAAAGCCUC
RNAcentral lists this ribosomal RNA (347 nucleotides) under Salmonella enterica subsp. enterica serovar Chester. RNAcentral describes it as "partial 23S ribosomal RNA". It matches the Rfam family "Bacterial large subunit ribosomal RNA", at positions 1273 to 1621 of the family's 2925-position model. The record is from RNAcentral. Lineage: Bacteria; Pseudomonadati; Pseudomonadota; Gammaproteobacteria; Enterobacterales; Enterobacteriaceae.